RNAcentral lists this ribosomal RNA (254 nucleotides) under uncultured bacterium. RNAcentral's name for it is "partial 16S ribosomal RNA". It matches the Rfam family "Bacterial small subunit ribosomal RNA", at positions 524 to 776 of the family's 1533-position model. The record is from RNAcentral.
UACGUAGGGUGCGAGCGUUAAUCGGAAUUACUGGGCGUAAAGCGUGCGCAGGCGGUUUGGUAAGUCGGGUGUGAAAUCUCCACGCUCAACGUGGAGGGGCCACUCGAUACUGCCAUGACUCGAGUCCGGUAGAGGAGUGUGGAAUUCCCGGUGUAGCGGUGAAAUGCGCAGAUAUCGGGAGGAACACCGGUGGCGAAGGCGGGUCUCUGGGCAGUAACUGACGCUGAGGAGCGAAAGCGUGGGGAGCGAACAGG